CUUGCAUUUCAAUUCAAGCCAGACCUAUCUCUCUUUUCCUUGGAAAACUAAGUUUUGGACCAUUAUAAAAUUAUGAUCUACAAAAAAGAAGCAAUCUGAAUUUAGGUGUGAAAUCUCCUAUAAAAGCAAAAGGAUUGGAAACCUUUUUUCUUCUUUUAUCUUGUAUGACUCUGAUUCCUUACCUAAGGUAAAGGACUUCUGUUACAAAGCAAAAGAAUUAAGUUUACACUUUACACUAUAUUGCUCAGCAUCUCUUCUGUUUUCCCUCGAAUAUGUUUUCUUUAUUCGCUGGGGCGCUCAGUUCCUUCCUGCUUCCGGAGCUGAGGCAUUGUAGUGCAGCUCCUGCUGAAGGCUGCUUUGUUUGGGAAGACGUGCUCUUGUUGUUUUCUUGCUGCGGCCGCCUCAAUAAAGUUCUGGCUACCCUCUCUCUUCUUUUGCGUGCGGCCCGUGAUGUUUUGAUCCUUUCUUUCUUUCUUGCUCUAAGUAUAAAAUUAUUCUAACUUAAAAUUAUAGAGCUAAAAUCUGAUUACUUGAUUUUAAAUUCCUAAAUGUUAAACACAAUAAUCAUAAUAACACAAUUGUGAGCUCACUCAGAAUUAUAAAUUCCAUCAAAUUUUAAAUUUAUUAAUACCUCUUCCGUCAUGGACACUUUUUGUAUUUAUAUUUCUAAAAUUAUUAUAUAGCUUAUAAAAGAAUCAAAUGAGUUUUUUCUCUAGAUUUUGUCUUUGUUUCAUUCACAAUCAAUUAAAAUAAUAUACAAAAUAAGAAUUUUUUUGGUUGGUCAAGGUGUUAAAGAUUUGGCAUAUUAUAUGAGAAUACGUACUAAGAUUAACUAUACGAUUUUAUAGUGAAGUAUGCUAUAUCUUACAGUUUAUAUUUUAUACGCUAAUUGGUAUUAGAUAUUUCAUUCACAAUUGUUCUAUAUAAUGUCUUUUUACAUCUCAACUUUUUGUCUAUAAAAUACUACAGAGCUCUCUAAAAGAGAAAAUUCUUCUUAAAGGAAGAAGACCAUAAUUGUUUGGUUUCCGGUGGAUUACGUCUUCCAUUAAAUUGAAUAUUUUGUACAAUAACUUAGUUACUUAUCUAUCUAUAUCUAUUUAUAUUAUUAUAAAAGUACGAAUAUAAUGUUGGUUUACAAAAAUAACCUUAUAAUAUUAAGCAUAAUAACUCAUAGUAAAAGGUCAUAACCGGAAUUUUAGAUGCCGUUAUCAAUGUAAUCCUAUUAGUUUUAGAACAUAAUAGGUACGGAAAUCCUAGAUGUUAGCCAUAUAAUUUUAUUACUUUUAGGAUCCUACUACUAAUUCUUAAACCCCGAAAACUUUUUGCUAAAUUAAUUUAUUUAUAAAUAUGCCGGUUUGAGAAUAUAGUAAAAGAAAGUUUUUGAAUUUGACUAAACUUAAAUGUGCCCGUUUUUGGAGAUAAACGAGAAAAAAAGACUGACGGCCUCUACCAAUCCACAAAUUUUGCUUUACUACUUAAGUCUAAAUUCCAAUAUCACUUGGAAAUCGAUGGAGAUAACUUAUUUUCUGUUUGAGAAUUGGCAUAUUGUCAUGUAAUUCUAUUACCUUUAGGAA
Nicotiana attenuata is the source of this 1574-nucleotide long non-coding RNA. RefSeq lists it as uncharacterized. NCBI's taxonomy places the organism in Eukaryota, Viridiplantae, Streptophyta, Magnoliopsida, Solanales, Solanaceae. The transcript has 2 exons. The record is from RefSeq and is a predicted model, not a curated record.